AUGUCCUUCCCACUGCCAAGAUGGAUUAAUGCUGGGAGACCUUACAACUGGGUGACGUCAUCGCUGCUCAGAGAUAAAACAGACUUCUCUUGGAAAGCUCCUGCCAGGGCAGGCUCCUAUGUCCUGGAAGCUGUCCCGGACCCCGUCCCGCAGGCUCCAGAGCACCCGGUGCCCCGCCACCGAGCCCCUGCUGUUUAUUGCUUUGGCUCACUGGUUAAAUGCGAAAGUUCAAGAUUUUCUUUCCCUUUUUUCAUAAUUAUAAAAGUAGGACUUUUUUUUUUUUUUUUUUUUUUCAGUGGCCACACCUGCUGCCUGUGGAAGUUCCCAGGCUAGGGGUCAAAUGAGAGCUGCAGCUGCUGGCCUAAACCACAGCCACACCAACGUGGGACCCAAACCGCGUCUGUGACCUACACCACAGCUCACAGCAAGGCCCCAUCCUUAACCCACUGAACAAGGCCGAGUAUCAAACCCUCGUCCUCAUGGACAGGAGUUGGGUUCAUUACCUCUGAGCCACAACAGGAACUCCCCGAUAUCCUCAUUUCAAAAGGCAGAAAAUUAUAAAGAGAAAAUUAAUCAACCAGAGCCACACCCUGAAGGCUUAGUCUCUGUUAAUGUUAAUUUUGAUGCAUUUCUUUCUAGUCUUUUUUUCUCUUUAUUUGCGACAGAUUUUCAAGCAUUGCUCAGUGGCAGUCAUGUCGAAAAUAAUUUUGUAUACUACCUUUUUAACUUAAUAUUGUAGCAGAAAUGAGUUUUCAGCAAGCAUUUCUGUAAAGUUCCAAAAGACUCUUAGUGGAUGUACUAUCAGAUACUUGAAUAUUAUUUCUAUUGACGGACACCUAGAAUGUUUCCAGUUUCCACUGGUAUAUAGGUGGAAGGUACAUCAUCCCUGCACCCAUUGCCAUGUUGGCUUGGGAUACUAUUUGGUGGAGCCCGCAAAGGCAAACUAAGAACUUCGCCCAGUAUAAGUUAAAGGGGGAUGGAAACUUGAAAAAUUCUGCCUUUUCCAUAUUGCUGAUGGUGGAGAACCAGGCUUGGAGCUGACUGCAAAGUGAGUUGUGGUGGCUGUGAAGUGGAGAUCACAGGCCUUGCAGUGGAAGCUGGUGGCAGAAAAGGAUGCACCUUACCCUCAGAGAAUGUGCCUCCCAUACUGCCUUACUGAGAAAGAGAGGCCAAGACGAAGGGAGUGAUCUGGCAUCUAAGGGAAAAACUCUCCUGAAGAUAAGUGGCUGAUCAUUUUCAGAACAUUGUUGUCAAACAUUCUUAAUUUUAAUUCUGUUGAUCACAAGUUCCAACUUACUAUUUGGGGAAAUUCUUGUGUCUUUCUCUUACUGAAAAAAAAAAAAUCAGAGAAAUAACAGAAGAACUAGGCCUAAGUGAAGGAAGAGUGACACAAUUGCAUGUUCUGCCUUGCUCUGAUCAGUCCCUCUGGGAAGUCUCUGUCCCACUUUAUGAGAGACUGGUGUCAUGUUUUUUAAGAUUCCAGAUAGCAAGGAUAUGCAGAGCCCAUGAGCCAUCCAGAACUUCUCUCUGAGCUCCUGCAUAAGCCUACUUCUAUCUCCUGUAAGUCACCUUGACUGAAAAUUAUAGUAGGAGAAGAGGACAGAGGGAAAAAGACUGGUGGUUAGAGAAUACAUUCAGUCUCCUGGCGCCUUUUUUUUUUUUUUUUUUUUUUUUAAACAGAUGAUCUUAUGCACUCUCAUUUGGUUUGUUAGUCUGGUUUAGAAAGGGCAUGCCACCCUAUUAGCUGUGUGAAUAACAAAACACUGUAGGUCCCUGCCAUGCUUGGAGUCCUAACUGUCUGUAACCCAAGGGAAAAGCAGCAACAGCCAGCUCUUGGCAUCUUCCUCUUUGCUUGGUCUGGGAGGUUUUCUCGUUAUGAGAGAAAGUGUGGCACAAACGCUGUCUCCUUCGGAGCCAGUUUUCUCAAUGCUAUCUCUGUGAGGAAAGAUAGAUUGACCCACUGGCAACACUCUGUCUUGAUUCAAAUACACACCACAGAGCAGGCAAUUUGUGUAACUGGCGUACACUUUGCAAAGUAACUGAUUCUUGGCCCAUCUGAGAACUAGGCAUGAAGCAGUGAUACAACUUCAAGAGGACAGAGACAGGCCAUGGCAGCUUUCUUUCCCCUCUGAACCCAGAAGGGGUGCCUGCCCCUCUCCCUGUCCACGUUUUAGAGCAGCACUCUCUACUAAUUAUGCAGCCAUACCCUCCUUCUAAUGCUCUUGCAUGGUCUCUAUGGUUUCCACCCAAAAGACAGGUCACCAUGGUGUCUGCACAGGGUGAUAUUUGCUCUAAGAGGAGAGGAGAUCUAGCCUUCUGAGGGCAAUGCUCCAGUCCUGGAUGCCUGCCAGCAACAAACCCACCAGCCCUCAGAUCUCCAACUCUACUCCUUUUUUAGUACUCAGGGAUUCUGGAAGCUCCCCCAUUUCUGGAGGAUGGUUUUCAUUUGGCUAUCUUUCUCUCACAAGACUGGGGAAAAGCCCAAUCCUUCACAGCUAGUACUCGUCCUGUCCAGUGCGUUCAGUCUCGGUCUGGCUCUCGGCAUCUCUUUCUCCAAGUCACAGCAUUCUCUAGGCACUUGCUGACCCUGCUGUGUUCUGCCUGUGACAGGUCACCUGCUUUUUGAAUUCUUUCCACUCUCCUCCCAGUUAUUUGCGAUAGCCUCUUAGAAGCUUAAAAAUAACAUUUAUUUCCCCAGUGGUUUUGUAUAUUUCCAUUUGGCAAACUCUAUUUUGUUCCAUGUGUUUCUAAGGGAACAGAAACCAAAAUGGUUUAUGUCCUGCUUCCUACACUGGCCUGACUGAUGUUGUCAGACUGGAAUUGCCCUUCAGCCCAGAGUGGGUACACCCAACCAGAAGCUGGACCUGGGUGCAGAGACUGUAUAAACUACAAAGACAAUGGACAUUGUUUAACUGUUGGAAAAAUCUACUUCACUGUACUUCCUUUAAUCAAGCAGUGGAUUUUUUAAUAGAGAGAUUCAAACCAUUAUGCAUGGAUAUGAUAACAACGUGAAAGUGGGAUAUACACUGGGAUAUUGUGAACCCAUUAUUAAAAUAAAACUGAGGCCAAUACAAGACAUCAAAAUGGAAGGCAGUAGUUACCAGAAGGGGUACAUUGGGUGAUUCCUGGGGAAAGGAAAGAUGCAGGAAAUGUUCUAUUUGAAGAUCUGGGUGAUAAUUACAUGUGUGUUUACUUGCAAAAAUUCAUUGAGCUCUGUAAUUUAUGAUCACAUUUUUAUGCAUGUAUGUUCAAUAAAAGGUUGGCUUAAAACUGAGGGGAUGUGUUGAGGCAGGCAAUUAAGGUACUUAUUCUUUCAUUUGAUAUAUAUUGUUUUAGUUUUAGAGCAAUUCAGUGCUCAAUGGUAAACAUCGACUUUGUGCAUAUGUCAGAAAUAAGUUAAGUGGCCACAGGGCCUGGCUUCAAGGAGUUUACAGUUAGGAGGCAGCUACAAUAUAAGUUGAAGUGCUCAGUAUACCAAUGCUAAAUUCUUAGCUGUGCCAAAUGUACCGUAGUAAUGUAGGAUGUGAACAUUAGGGGGCACUAGCUGAGGGUAUGUGGGAAUUCUCUAUACAAUCCCUGCAGCUUGUCUGCAGAUCUGAUUAUAUUCUAAAUUUAAAGUUUUUU
RNAcentral lists this long non-coding RNA (3624 nucleotides) under Sus scrofa (pig). RNAcentral describes it as "lncRNA (ENSSSCG00005006324.1)". The record is from RNAcentral. Lineage: Eukaryota; Metazoa; Chordata; Mammalia; Artiodactyla; Suidae.